CCUACGGGUGGCAGCAGUGGGGAAUAUUGCACAAUGGGGGAAACCCUGAUGCAGCGACGCCGCGUGAAGGAAGAAGUUUUUCGGUAUGUAAACUUCUAUCAGCAGGGAAGAAAAUGACGGUACCUGACUAAGAAGCCCCGGCUAACUUCGUGACAGCAGCCGCGGUUAUGCGGAGGGGGCAAGCGUUAUCCGGAUUUACUGGGUGUAAAGGGAGCGUAGGCGGGUUAGCAAGUCAGAAGUGAAAGCCCCGGGCCCAACUCCGGGACUGCCUUUGAAACUGGUGAACGUGAUUGCAGGAGAGGUAAGUGGAAUUCCUAGUGUAGCGGUGAAAUGCGUAGAUAUUAGGAGGAACACCAGUGGCGAAGGCAGCUUACUGGACUGUAAAUGACGCUGAGGCUCGAAAGCGUGGGGAGCAAACAGGAUUAGAUACCCCGGUAGUC
This 440-nucleotide ribosomal RNA is filed under the name uncultured bacterium. Its description in RNAcentral is "partial 16S ribosomal RNA". It matches the Rfam family "Bacterial small subunit ribosomal RNA", at positions 338 to 795 of the family's 1533-position model. The record is from RNAcentral.